RNAcentral lists this ribosomal RNA (2906 nucleotides) under Serratia nematodiphila WCU338. Its description in RNAcentral is "bacterial LSU rRNA". It matches the Rfam family "Bacterial large subunit ribosomal RNA". The record is from RNAcentral. Lineage: Bacteria; Pseudomonadati; Pseudomonadota; Gammaproteobacteria; Enterobacterales; Yersiniaceae.
UUAAGUGACUAAGCGUACACGGUGGAUGCCUAGGCAGUCAGAGGCGAUGAAGGGCGUGCUAAUCUGCGAAAAGCGUCGGUAAGGUGAUAUGAACCGUUAUAACCGGCGAUACCCGAAUGGGGAAACCCAGUGUGUUUCGACACACUAUCAUGUCAUGAAUACAUAGUGGCAUGAGGCGAACCGGGGGAACUGAAACAUCUAAGUACCCCGAGGAAAAGAAAUCAACCGAGAUUCCCCCAGUAGCGGCGAGCGAACGGGGAGGAGCCCAGAACCUGAAUCGGCUUGUGUGUUAGUGGAAGCGUCUGGAAAGUCGCGCAGUAAAGGGUGAUAGCCCCGUACACUAAAAUACACAGGUCGUGAGUUCGAUGAGUAGGGCGGGACACGUGACAUCCUGUCUGAAUAUGGGGGGACCAUCCUCCAAGGCUAAAUACUCCUGACUGACCGAUAGUGAACCAGUACCGUGAGGGAAAGGCGAAAAGAACCCCGGCGAGGGGAGUGAAAUAGAACCUGAAACCGUGUACGUACAAGCAGUGGGAGCACCUUCGUGGUGUGACUGCGUACCUUUUGUAUAAUGGGUCAGCGACUUAUAUUUUGUAGCAAGGUUAACCGUAUAGGGGAGCCGUAGGGAAACCGAGUCUUAACUGGGCGACUAGUUGCAAGGUAUAGACCCGAAACCCGGUGAUCUAGCCAUGGGCAGGUUGAAGGUUGGGUAACACUAACUGGAGGACCGAACCGACUAAUGUUGAAAAAUUAGCGGAUGACUUGUGGCUGGGGGUGAAAGGCCAAUCAAACCGGGAGAUAGCUGGUUCUCCCCGAAAGCUAUUUAGGUAGCGCCUCGUGAACUCAUCUUCGGGGGUAGAGCACUGUUUCGGCUAGGGGGCCAUCCCGGCUUACCAAACCGAUGCAAACUCCGAAUACCGAAGAAUGUUAUCACGGGAGACACACGGCGGGUGCUAACGUCCGUCGUGAAGAGGGAAACAACCCAGACCGCCAGCUAAGGUCCCAAAGUCAUGGUUAAGUGGGAAACGAUGUGGGAAGGCAUAGACAGCCAGGAUGUUGGCUUAGAAGCAGCCAUCAUUUAAAGAAAGCGUAAUAGCUCACUGGUCGAGUCGGCCUGCGCGGAAGAUGUAACGGGGCUAAACCAUGCACCGAAGCUGCGGCAGCGACGCUUAGGCGUUGUUGGGUAGGGGAGCGUUCUGUAAGCCGUUGAAGGUGGCCUGUGAGGGUUGCUGGAGGUAUCAGAAGUGCGAAUGCUGACAUAAGUAACGAUAAAGCGGGUGAAAAGCCCGCUCGCCGGAAGACCAAGGGUUCCUGUCCAACGUUAAUCGGGGCAGGGUGAGUCGACCCCUAAGGCGAGGCUGAAAAGCGUAGUCGAUGGGAAACAGGUUAAUAUUCCUGUACUUGGUGUUACUGCGAAGGGGGGACGGAGAAGGCUAGGCUGGCCGGGCGACGGUUGUCCCGGUUUAAGCGUGUAGGGGGUGUGACCUGGUAAAUCCGGUUGCAUAUCAACCCUGAGGCGUGAUGACGAUGCACUACGGUGCAGAAGUAGUUGAUGCCCUGCUUCCAGGAAAAUCCUCUAAGCUCCAGGUAACAUUAAAUCGUACCCCAAACCGACACAGGUGGUCAGGUAGAGAAUACCAAGGCGCUUGAGAGAACUCGGGUGAAGGAACUAGGCAAAAUGGUGCCGUAACUUCGGGAGAAGGCACGCUGGCAUGUAGGUGAAGUCCCUCGCGGAUGGAGCUGAAGCCAGUCGAAGAUACCAGCUGGCUGCAACUGUUUAAUAAAAACACAGCACUGUGCAAACACGAAAGUGGACGUAUACGGUGUGACGCCUGCCCGGUGCUGGAAGGUUAAUUGAUGGGGUCAGCCGCAAGGCGAAGCUCUUGAUCGAAGCCCCAGUAAACGGCGGCCGUAACUAUAACGGUCCUAAGGUAGCGAAAUUCCUUGUCGGGUAAGUUCCGACCUGCACGAAUGGCGUAAUGAUGGCCAGGCUGUCUCCACCCGAGACUCAGUGAAAUUGAACUCGCUGUGAAGAUGCAGUGUACCCGCGGCAAGACGGAAAGACCCCGUGAACCUUUACUAUAGCUUGACACUGAACAUUGAGCCUUGAUGUGUAGGAUAGGUGGGAGGCUUUGAAGCGUGGACGCCAGUCUGCGUGGAGCCAUCCUUGAAAUACCACCCUUUAAUGUUUGAUGUUCUAACUCGGCCCCGUGAUCCGGGGUGAGGACAGUGUCUGGUGGGUAGUUUGACUGGGGCGGUCUCCUCCCAAAGAGUAACGGAGGAGCACGAAGGUUAGCUAAUCACGGUCGGACAUCGUGAGGUUAGUGCAAAGGCAUAAGCUAGCUUGACUGCGAGAGUGACGGCUCGAGCAGGUACGAAAGUAGGUCUUAGUGAUCCGGUGGUUCUGAAUGGAAGGGCCAUCGCUCAACGGAUAAAAGGUACUCCGGGGAUAACAGGCUGAUACCGCCCAAGAGUUCAUAUCGACGGCGGUGUUUGGCACCUCGAUGUCGGCUCAUCACAUCCUGGGGCUGAAGUAGGUCCCAAGGGUAUGGCUGUUCGCCAUUUAAAGUGGUACGCGAGCUGGGUUUAGAACGUCGUGAGACAGUUCGGUCCCUAUCUGCCGUGGGCGCUGGAAGAUUGAGAGGGGUUGCUCCUAGUACGAGAGGACCGGAGUGAACGCACCACUGGUGUUCGGGUUGUCAUGCCAAUGGCAUUGCCCGGUAGCUAAGUGCGGAAAAGAUAAGCGCUGAAAGCAUCUAAGCGCGAAACUUGCCUCAAGAUGAGUCUUCCCUGGGCCUUUAAGGCCCCUGAAGGAACGUUUAAGACUAAGACGUUGAUAGGCUGGGUGUGUAAGUGCAGCGAUGCAUUGAGCUAACCAGUACUAAUGAUCCGUGAGGCUUAACCUU